RNAcentral lists this unclassified non-coding RNA (361 nucleotides) under uncultured bacterium. RNAcentral's name for it is "contains 16S-23S intergenic spacer region". The record is from RNAcentral.
UCCCUGUUGCCAGGGCAGUCUCCUAUGAAAUCCAACAUAGGACAAGGGUUGCGUUCGUUCAAGGACUUAACCUCACAUCUCACGACACGAACUGACGACGACCGUGCAGUACCUGUCUCAGAGCUCCCGAAGGCACUUCCCUCUUUCAAGGGAAUUCUCUGGAUGUCAAGGCCUGGAUAAGGUUUUUCGCUUGUUGUCGAAUUAAACCACAUGCUCCACCACUUGUGCGAGCCCCCGCCAAUUCCUUUGAGUUUUAGUCUUGCGACCGUACUCCCCAGGCGGCCAACUUGACGCGUUAGCUUCGCAACAGAGAGGGUCGACUCUCCCUAUUGCUAGUUGGCAUAGUUUACGGCGUGGACUA